This 89-nucleotide ribosomal RNA is filed under the name Enterobacter sp. 10-1. RNAcentral describes it as "partial 16S ribosomal RNA". It matches the Rfam family "Bacterial small subunit ribosomal RNA", at positions 1453 to 1533 of the family's 1533-position model. The record is from RNAcentral. RNAcentral also lists the same sequence under 1 other name. Lineage: Bacteria; Pseudomonadati; Pseudomonadota; Gammaproteobacteria; Enterobacterales; Enterobacteriaceae.
CUUACCACUUUGUGAUUCAUGACUGGGGUGAAGUCGUAACAAGGUAACCGUAGGGGAACCUGCGGUUGGAUCACCUCCUUACCUGAAGA